RNAcentral lists this ribosomal RNA (481 nucleotides) under Zootoca vivipara (common lizard). RNAcentral describes it as "partial 16S ribosomal RNA". It matches the Rfam family "Bacterial large subunit ribosomal RNA", at positions 1862 to 2596 of the family's 2925-position model. Lineage: Eukaryota; Metazoa; Chordata; Lepidosauria; Squamata; Lacertidae. The record is from RNAcentral.
CCCAGUGACUCUUUUAAACGGCCGCGGUAUCCUAACCGUGCAAAGGUAGCAUAAUCACUUGUCUCUUAAAUAGAGACUAGAAUGAAUGGCUAAAUGAGGACUAAUCUGUCUCUUACGGACCAACCAAUGAAAUUAAUCUUUCAGUACAAAAGCUGAAAUAAAAACAUAAGACGAGAAGACCCUGUGGAGCUUCAAACCAAACACACCCUGCAUGCUCCUCAGGUUUUUAGUUGGGGCGACUUCGGAGCACAAUAAAACCUCCAAAAUUUUUUAUCUUCAAGAUUAACAAACCAAAAACUUUAUUAGACCCAGCAAUGUAUAACAUUGUCUGACCACUGAACCAAGUUACCCCAGGGAUAACAGCGCCAUCCCCUCCUAGAGUUCAUAUCGACAAGGGGGUUUACGACCUCGAUGUUGGAUCAGGACACCCCAAUGGUGCAGCCGCCAUUAAAGGUUCGUUUGUUCAACGAUUAAUUAGUCC